RNAcentral lists this ribosomal RNA (1217 nucleotides) under uncultured Rhizaria. Its description in RNAcentral is "SSU rRNA". It matches the Rfam family "Eukaryotic small subunit ribosomal RNA", at positions 577 to 1804 of the family's 1831-position model. The record is from RNAcentral.
CGGUAAUUCCAGCUCCAAUAGCGUAUACUAAAGUUGUUGCAGUUAAAAAGCUCGUAGUUGGAUUUCUGCGGGGACGGAGCGGCCGGACGCAACUUGCGUCUCGAGCUAGCGCUUUCCCCGCAUCCUGCCGCGAACCGUGCUACCAUUAGCUUGGUGGCGCUGGGGAUCGGCUCGAUUACUUUGAGAAAAAUAGAGUGUUCAAAGCAGGCCACACGCCUUGAAUAAGUUAGCAUGGAAUAAUGACUAAGGACUUCGGUUCUAUUUUGUAGGUGUUCGGGACUGAAGUAAUGAUUGAUAGGGACAGUUGGGGCGGUCUGUAUUCCAAAGCGAGAGGUGAAAUUCUUAGACCUUCGGAAGACAAACAGCUGCGAAAGCGUUCCGCAAGGAUGUUCCCUUUGAUCAAGAACGAAAGUUGGGGGAUCGAAGACGAUCAGAUACCGUCGUAGUCUCAACUAUAAACUAUACCAGCUAGGGAUCGGUCAACGUUUAAUCAUUCGACUUGAUCGGCACCUUAUGAGAAAUCAAAGCAUCUGGGUUCCGGGGGGAGUAUGGUCGCAAGGCUGAAACUUAAAGGAAUUGACGGAAGGGCACCACCAGCCGUGGAGCCUGUGGCUUAAUUUGACUCAACACGGGAAAACUUACCAGGUCCAGACAUAGUAAGGAUUGACAGAUUGAUAGCUCUUUCUUGAUUCUGUGGGUGGUGGUGCAUGGCCGUUCUUAGUUGGUGGAGUGAUUUGUCUGGUUAAUUCCGUUAACGAACGAGACCCCAGCCUGCUAAAUAGCGCGGCUGAGCUUUGCUCGGUGCGAGCUUCUUAGAGGGACUAUGAUGCGCGAUAGCACAUGGAAGUUUGGGGCAAUAACAGGUCUGUGAUGCCCUUAGAUGUUCUGGGCCGCACACGGGCUACACUGGCGCCUGCAACGAGCAUAUCAGCUGGCCCGAGAGGGUCUUGGCUAAUCUUUUGAACCGGCGCCGUGCUUGGGAUUGACCAUUGCAAUUGUUGGUCAUGCAACGAGGAAUGCCUUGUAAACGCGAGUCAUCAGCUCGCAUUGAAUACGUCCCUGCCCUUUGUACACACCGCCCGUCGCUCCUACCGAUGAAUGUUCCGAUGAAAUUUUCGGAGAGCGCCAGAGAACGGGGCUCUGCCUUGCAGAUCUGGAGGCUCAAAGUCACUUAAAUCUGAACAUUUCGAGGAAGGAGAAGUCGUAACAAGGUAACC